This is a long non-coding RNA of Planococcus citri (citrus mealybug), 379 nucleotides long. RefSeq lists it as uncharacterized. The transcript has 3 exons. The record is from RefSeq and is a predicted model, not a curated record. NCBI's taxonomy places the organism in Eukaryota, Metazoa, Arthropoda, Insecta, Hemiptera, Pseudococcidae.
UAGUGUUGAACGAUUCGCUGAUAAUAGUGCACGCUAAAGUACAUCAGAACGUUGUAAUACCUUGCAAACCCACCUCCCCAUCCGUAAACGUUACCUUAAAUACGGUCGAUGAAGAGGUAACAGGUCUUGAAUAUAAUCCGAAAGUCGGAUACAUUAUGCCAAACGUCAAAGUUACAGAUUCUAGUAUUCUUAAUUGCGCUGCUACAUACGGUGACAUUGAAUCUCCACAAUACAUUAUACAAAUUAUAGUCAAUCCUGCUGACAGUGAAAUUUCAAACCCAUUCAUAGACGUUUCAAAUGCUUUCAACCUGGCAGAAGGAGAUAACGCUACGUUAAGCUGUUCCAUAACUAUUAGUACUGGCGAUAUUAUUGGAUUAGA